CUUCAGGGAGCCGAGCAGCAGCGGGCGGUCUGCGGGACGGCCCCGGCCGUACGUGGCGAGCAGGGCCUGCGCCUC
Molecule: antisense RNA, 75 nt
Filed under: Streptomyces sp. TSRI0107
Lineage: Bacteria; Bacillati; Actinomycetota; Actinomycetes; Kitasatosporales; Streptomycetaceae
Description: ASpks sRNA
Rfam family: ASpks TB sRNA
Source: RNAcentral